This 446-nucleotide ribosomal RNA is filed under the name uncultured bacterium. RNAcentral describes it as "bacterial SSU rRNA". It matches the Rfam family "Bacterial small subunit ribosomal RNA", at positions 330 to 792 of the family's 1533-position model. The record is from RNAcentral.
CCCAGACUCCUACGGGAGGCAGCAGUGGGGGAUAUUGCACAAUGGGGGAAACCCUGAUGCAGCGACGCCGCGUGGGUGAAGAAGUAUUUCGGUACGUAAAGCCCUAUCAGCAGGGAAGAAAGAAGACGGUACCUGACUAAGAAGCCCCGGCUAACUACGUGCCAGCAGCCGCGGUAAUACGUAGGGGGCGAGCGUUAUCCGGAUUCACUGGGUGUAAAGGGAGCGUAGACGGCCGUGCAAGCCAGGAGUGAAAGCCCGGGGCCCAACCCCGGGACUGCUCUUGGAACUGUGCGGCUGGAGUGCGGGAGGGGCAGGCGGAAUUCCUGGUGUAGCGGUGAAAUGCGUAGAUAUCAGGAGGAACACCGGCGGCGAAGGCGGCCUGCUGGACCGCGACUGACGUUGAGGCUCGAAAGCGUGGGGAGCGAACAGGAUUAGAUACCCCUGUA